UAAUGUCAGGGGAAAACCUUUACCUUUACUAGGGAGAUUAUUUUUUUCUGGUAUCCCAAGUCCAAAUUCUAUAGUACUUUAAAUGUCAAUGUCUCUAACAUAAUUGUCUGGGGUGUAGAACCUCUACUUAAAAGAGUCCUUGGCAAGAAACCCUUGUGAUAGAUCAUCUUCAACAUUGUCAUAAGUCAGAAAUUACCUGAAUGCACAUAACACACUCACACGGGUGGAUGGGCAGAUUUUUCUUUUUUCUAUCUUCAUAACUUCUUUUGGAUGCUGGAAUCCUUUGGUAUUAUUUCUAAAAUGCAUGUAAAAAUCUGGUUCACAAUCUGUUUCCAGGUUUUAUCAUUUCUGUCUAUGUAAUAUCAUGGAAAAUGAAAAAGAUUUAAUCAGUUUAAUUUUCAUUUUAAAUUGUCAUUUCAGUUUAAUGUAGGCCCCUUCCACAUAGCUGAAUAAAACCCCACAUUAUCUGCUUUGAAUUGGAAUAUAUGGCAGUGUGGACUCUGAUGACCCAGUUUAAAGCAGAUAUUGUGAGAUUUUCUGCCUUGAUAUUCUGGGUUUUAUGGCUGUGGUGAAGGGCCCUUAGUUUAGUUACGAAAGCAAAUCUCCUCAAACCGGCAUUAUUCAAAUUGAAGAUGAUUGCUGUUCAGCUAAUCAGUUGAAUUCAACAUCAAUCCCAAGUAACGCCCCGUCUACACUCCCUGUAUCCCAGUAUCUGAUCCCAGAUUAUCUGCUUUAAACUGGAUUAUAUGAAUCUCCACUACCAGAUAAUCUGGGAUAAGAAGACAAUCUGGGAUCAGAUCCUGGGAUAUAGGGGCAGUGUGGAAAGGACUUAAAGUAAACCAUUAAAAUUUGGAACUGAAUGGAACUUAAUCACAAUGGAUCUAAUUUAGUUGGUACUAACAUUGGAUUUAGAGUAGAGUCCGCAUUAUAAAAAGAGCCAAACAAAAUUCAGAAUUGCAUUCAGUCUGCACAAAAGAAAAUGGGGGAAGAAACAACAUUUGUACAGAAUUUGAAAGUACUGUUAUAAGUGUCCAGCAAGACUUAGCUGUGCAUGUUUAUUAUAACUGUCCUAAAAUGCCAUGGCAUAACAAAAGCUUAGAUAUAGCAUUAUUGGAAGUACCUUGUGUAAAAGGAGCUUUAAAGAAAUGCUGACAAAAUUUACCAUUUAUUCUUAGGUAGAAAUAAGUUAUGUGUUCUUUUUUUCCAUGUGACCGUGCUCAUAAUUGAGUGGUUUAUUCUGUCAAGGUAAAAAAAAUGGAAUGGUGGACUAAAUCUAAUGGUGAGAGGGUUAUUUGGAGGUCAAAUCCUUGAUAAUUGCAGAAGAGAGUUUCAGGUCCUUAAGUCCUCCUGUUUUAAAGAUCUUGGGGGGGGGGGGGAGAGAGAGAAAAUAGAAUGUGCCUAAUGAAUUCCCUAUAAUCAGUAAUUCAAAUGAUUUUCCCUCACUUCAGAAUAUAAUAGAGGCAAUGAACAUUAAAAUAUUAUUGUUUCUGAUGCUCACAUUAUUUAUGUUAGUUUAUGUUAGAGGGAAAACAUUUAGUUUUAGAUGGGGGGACUGUAUACUAUCCAAGGCCCCUUUUACACUGCCAUAUAAUCCAGAUUAUUAAAGCAGAUAAUCCACAUUAUCUGCUUUAAACUGGAUUAUAUAAAUCUACACUGCCAUUUAGUCCAGUUCAAGUCAGAUAAUCUGGAUUUUAUAUGGCAAUGUAGAAGGGGCCCAAGAUAGAAAUAAAGGAAAGUCCUGGGGAGGCUACAGAUUAAUAGUACUGGAAUUGUGAUGAAUCAAAUAGCAAUAUAAAGCAGAACAAACAGAAUUAGGAGGUCAAGGAAAAGUGUUGUAUGAAAUGGAUCUUGGAAAAUAUUUUGAAGGAAAGAGAGACAUUUCAGGGUUUAGAAAGCAGUAUGGCAGAAAGUAUAGUGAUAAGUUUGUGUGCUGGUUAGUCAUCAUGUAAUGUUAAGGCAGAAGGCAUAAUGGUAAGUUUGAGCACUGUUGGUUAGUCAUCAUUUUAUAGAUUGAUUUUUAGACACAGACUUUGAAAUAACUGAAAAGCAUUUAAAGAAGUACAUAUGAAAUUGAUAUUCAGCUAGAGAUGGAGCACAUUUAAUAACCAACCAGUGUGCACUAUGGUAUAAUUUUGUAAAAAGAUGAUUAUAUCCAAGCAGCCUGUUUGUAUGAUUUAACAUUUUGUUCGUAAAGCCUUUACAGAUUUUCAGUUGCAAUUCCACACAGAAGACUACCUGUACAAAGAGCACUAAUAUAAUAUCCAAAUGAAUUCUUCUCUUGACUUUGAUAUUGUACUUUACACAUAAAUUUCUGAUUACGUCUGUUGUAGUGCUUUUCGUAAUGAGUAAUGUGGAUUUUAUUUUUAGGUGUUGUUAUCAGAUACCGUAUAUAUAAGCAGGUAGUGAUCCCUUGUUGGCAUCUGCCACUAGUAGAGAUCCUGCACACAUGACCUGUUAUAUAUAGUAGGUCAAGACAUUGCUCCAUUUGUGCUCUAUCCAUCAAUACAGGCAGUGUAAAAACCUCAUGAAGUCCUAGGUGAACAAUGUAUGGGAAUAUACAAUGUAUUGUGUUCAGGGUCCACACCAUUGGUAUUAGGAUACAGUUGCUCUUCUUCAGCUGCUUAUACAAUAUCCAUAGCAUAUCUCUUCACCUUACUAUUUGGAGAUAGUAAUAUUCCCAGUAAGGAAUUAAAAUGACUUUCUGUUCUUUCCUUUUGUCUUAUCUAGAAUUGCAUUGUUAAAAUCACUAGUUUUAAUCUCCACAAAAUGAGAUUCUUCAACCUUUCCCCCAGUUAUUUGCAGUAUUUCUGCCUGGCUUGUAAAAAUACUAUCCUAUAAUUUAUUAUAAUGGUUAACCACAAGGUGGUGCACAUUUUCUGUUCUAAAGGUCAGUAGACUUUAGUUUUACCCCAAAUACUUCUCUGCUGUUCUCCUACAGGAUACAGUAGCAUUUUUUUAUUAUGCUAUGGAAAAAAAUAUUUUUGGAAAUGUGUUUAUUACAAAAAGUACCUUUACAAACAAACAAUGUACAAACAGUCCCUUGGUAUACAAAUAGCAUCAAAUUUAAGCACCCAUUGAUUCACUCUAAACUUCUGAACUUGGCUGAGUUUCUUCCAUGUUAAUCUUAACUUUCCUGGAUCUUUGAGAUGUUUUAGUUGAUUUUUUACUUUUCAUUUUAUAGAUAGGGAAGCUGAGGAAGACUGUAUCUGUAAAUGUGUCCUGCCGAAAUUUGCUGUUGAGCCUGAGUAUAGGAAACAUUGUUUCUCCACUCUUUUGACUGGCAUGGAAAGGGUUACGAAGAGAUAGAACAACAGGAGCCUGAGGCCUCUUCUUCACUGCCAUAUAAAAUCCAGAUUAUCUGUUUUGAACUGGAUUAUAUGGCACUGUAGACUCAUAUAAUCCAGUUCAAAGAAGAUAAUGUGGAUUUUCUCUUUUGAUAAUUUGGAUUAUAUGGCAGGGUAGAAGGGGCCUGAGUCUGUUAAGAGUUUUGUAUAGUAUCUGGCAGAUUCAUGGUUAAUUGUAAAGUUAGGAGUAACGAAGCAGAAUCUAAAUCAAAGAGUAACUAAUGAAUGGAAUCUGUAAGCAAUAAAGAAUAGGCUGCAGUGGGGAUGAUGUAAUGCAGCUGUGAUUGGUUAAAGGGAAUAUAAAUUAAGCAAGUAACCACAGCAUGUGGACUUCCUAAGAAUAGAGAUUUUGUUGUGUGAAGGUGUUUGAUUCGAUUCUGUGAACCAGUGUAUCAAAUGCUACUUUCUAACUGAAGAUACAGUGAAAGAGAAUACUGGAUAUAAGUUCCUCAACUAAUUUAAAGACCUUCAGCAGUGGCUUUUGCUUCCUUUGCUCCCUGAGGAUGAUCAUGUAACUCAUCAUUCAAUGGUUCCACCUGAGAAUCACUGCCAAAUACAGCACUCAACAGACCAGUGGUGUAUUUCCUUCUCUUUGUCACAUGUCUAUCCAAUGCUACCACACUGACAUUGCAUGGUCUUGUAAUCUUGCUCUGCUGUGUGAGAGAACUGUUACUGAGGGAAGACAGUGAGCAGCUCCGAGAACUUUGUGCUAAAACAUGCAGCCAAGUGAAGUGUUGAAGUGCCAUCCACCUCACUGAACUUCCGGCCAUCGUUUUGAUUGGCUGCCAAUCCAGGAAAAGAAAAGGAGGGCUUCUCCACAGCAGGAAUGAGCUUGCUUUUAUGAGACUCAACCAAACUAGGCACUGGUAUACCUGAGAGAGGCGUUUGUAGACCUUUAAAUUUGCCCGUAUCUAUGCCUCUCCCAUUUUCACUGUCUUCCUCUACACAAGAGACCAAAAUUCUCAAAGGUUUGGGGGAAGCUACAGCACUCAGUAUUCCCAGGCAGUUUCCCAUCCAAGUACUAACUUGGCCUGACCCUGUUUAGCUUCUGAGAUCAGAUGAGAUUGGACAUGUUCAGGGUGGUAUGGCUGUAGCUAGAGAAGAGGUUUCCUGCAAUGUUGUUAUCAGCCCUGUGGUAUUCUGCAUCAUUUAGUAAAAAACAAAAGAAAUCAUUCUCAGGUCUGUUCAGCACCUUGAGAGCAUCUUGCAUUUCUUCUAUAUAUUUGAUUACAGAAGGGAUCUUGUAGCGCAAGCAUUUUUAAAGUGAUACACUUCCACUUCUUUCUGCAGCUACAUCUUUUCAUUAGUAAGUCUUGGAGCAGCAUUUAAAGCCAAGGCUAGGCCUUUGUUGUUCUGUUUUAGGGUGACCUUAAAGAUGGUGGAGUUAUUUAUUGUUUUUGUUUUGAUGUUUGAUGCAAGAGAUACAUUCACAUUUGCCAUUUCUAAAGCACCAUUUCUUUUGUCUUUGAUCUGUUCCUUAGCUCCAAUCACAGAGGACAGGGUAGAUGUCUCCAAAACUGACAUUUUGCUGAGAGUCCAGCAAAUUCUAGUCGAUUUCAAUGGGUCUGACUUAGGCAUAGGCCAACUUUGGCCCUCCCUACCUUCAGGUGUUUUGGGCUUCAACUCCCCGCUAUUUGUUGAUAGUAACACUAAACAAAGCAGCCAGUCUCAGAGAAAUGAGAAUACAAUAUAUGGGCUGUAAUGCGGGUCUCAAUCCAGAAUAAGCCAGUUGUGUGUUAUCUAUCUAAAAAGCAGACGAUAUUAAAUUGUUUCUGUGUUCUUGGUCUGUGUUCCAGUGUAUGCCUCCUGUUUUACUACUGCAAUCUGCUCUAAUUAUCAAGUUUUAUCAAGUUUAUUGACCUAUUAACGGUGUCCAUGGGACAUUUUAAUUUAGUAGCUGUUAAAAAGGCUUUAAAUAUGUUACAAUUUGUAUGAUAAAACAUUUCAUGUCACCCUUCCCAUUGGUAUCCAUACCAUAUAAAAAAUGUUCUUAAUUCUUUCCUGCACCAGCUAAUACAGCAUUGCUUUAAAAGGAAGAUUUAAAAAUUCAGGAGAGAGCCUGAUGUGGCUAUUGGACUAGGACUCUGGAGACUCAGGUUCAAAACUCUGCUUGACCAUGGAUGCAUCUGUACUGUAGUAUUAAUGCAGUUUGACACCACUUUAACUGCCCUUGAUCUUGGGAUUUGAAGCUUGAUGAGUCACCAGCUCUCUUUGACAGAGCAGACUAAAUGUCUUGAAAAACCUUAGCUCCCAGGAUUCCAUAGCACUGGGCUAUGACAGUUAAAAUAGUGUUGAAUAGUUUUCUGCAGUGUUGAUGUACCCCUAAUGUAUGACCUUGGGCAAAUCACAUUCUCGCAGCCUCAGAGGAAGGGAGUGUCAAACCCCCUAUGAAAAAAUAUUGCCAAAAAAACUCAUGAUAGAUUCUCUUUAGGAUUACAAUAUGCCAUAAAUGAUUUGACAGUAGCAACAAAGACACAGAUCCGCUUGCUAAAGGUGCAUGUAGUUGUUUUGCCUCCAUUCAGAUUUUUGCAAUAGAUAUGAUGAUAUAUAAAGAAGAAAUCACAGCUAAUGAUCUUAAAUUGUUCUUUAUUAAACAGUCAUUAUGCUCAUUUAUGAAACAGCUUAAUGUGUAUUCUCUGCUGAGUAUCUCUGCCAAUGAACACUUAACCUUUUCUGCGAAUCUUGCUUAAUAUUUUCCUGCUGAAAUCCUUCCGUUCUGCAUUCUGUGACGUGGAAAUGGUGUCCUAUCCUGUUCCCUGUACAAUGAAUUGAGAGGUGGUGUCUGAAGAAACUUAGAAUGUCUUCCUUUAUAUUGACAGCAGUUUUUUGUCCAAGAAUAUAUAGAUGCACAUAUCUUUUAAGACUGGCAUAAUGAUUUAAAGUAUGGUGCAGUCCAACCAUCAUGAGGAGGUCAUCAAACUCUUUAUUUAUUUAUUUAUUUAUUUAUUUAUUUAUUUAUUUAUUUAUUACAUGCAGUUAUACCCUGCCCUUCUCCCCAAGGGGACUCAGAGCGGCUUACAUUCUGCCACAAGGGCCAGCAACAAAUAUACUAUAAAACAAAACAAUUAAAACAUGAUAAAAAUAUACAAAAAUUAAAACGCUGCAAAGUAGCGAUGUUGCACCAUCCUCAGUCAUUCAAUACUGCUACAAUUACAGAUUUGCGACCCGAUUAUAUCAGCCCAUGUGCUUAUUCGCUGAAUGCCUGGGCGCAGAGCCAAGUUUUUAGUUUUCUUCUAAAUCCCAGGAGGGAUGGGGUUUGCCGGAUAUCGCUGGGGAGGGAGUUCCACAGCCGAGGAGCCACCAUCUUAAGGUUUGUCCUAUUACUGGUAUGCAUGUGCCACAUGUUCUUUUACCACAUUGAUACGAAAUCUGUUGUAAAAUGUGUUUUUAAAAAUAAGGCAUUUAAACCUGGCAGUUUCAAGAUUGUAUUUGGAUACUUUGUAAAAAUGCAUUAAAUAUGUGUUGAGGUGAUGGGAGUGUUCAUCCCAAAAUUUGGUUUCCCUAUAGUUAGCUGUAAUCAUGCUGUGCUGUCAUUCUGCCUUGGUGACUGAAGUUAUCCUUUUUCUACCACAGUCUGCAGUGCAAUAUGGAGACACUGUCCUUACACAUGGUUUUGCCCAAAGCGCACCCUUCUUUCUGCAUCUGUGAAGAGUUUAACAUUGUGCAUUAGAAUGACAUCACAUCUUCUUUCAAUCUUCGUCUCCUUGCAGUCAUCUUCUAUUUUUGGAAAGAAAGUCAAAGCUGGUCAGUUCUUUAUUGAUGUGACUCACAAGGUUCCCCAGCCUUAAUGCCACAGUGGCAUGAACACAUUCUGAUAUCACACAGAGAAUCUAAUUGGGAAGAAAUAUGAUCUGUGUUUCUCUCUCUGUGUUAAAUCUGAGCAAGUAAUCUGUUACCCAUGGAAACCAAGAGCUUUUGCCAGGAGGCUAAGAACACUGUAAAGAAUAAAGUCAACAGAGAUACUGAGGGGAAAUGCACGCAGCACAGUCAGACAGCAAAUUCAGAAAUAACUAACAUGACCUCUUUUGUGCCACUGAAAUAGCUUUGUCAGAAAAGUAUGUCAUGUGCACAGAAAUGGCUCACAACAGCCAAGAAUUAACAGCAUUUCCUUUUGUAAUGGAUUUAAGCAGUAGCUGUGUGAAGUUUUUCCAUUUACUGCUUAGUUAAUUUGGAUCUGUAUUGAAACCUGAAAGUUAUCAUAGUUUAUCCUUCCUACUUUAUAUCAAUAUUAUCAGUUUUUGCUCUGUUACACAUGGCAACAGCCAUUAAGAUCACACUUUCUUAAGGAAGAGUCUAAUUAAUAAAUGCCAUUGAUCUUGCUGUGUAAUUUAGGAUACUGUUUUAUGGAGUUUGAAGACCAGUCCUUAAUUCUGCCUUGAAGUAUGGGUGAAAACAAGGAUUUAUCCACAAAUGUAAGAUGAAAAUGAGAUUUCUCAGUCUCAUGCUGCUGAGAUGUCAAUGCAAGGCUGACAUAAAUGAUAUUUAAGCAUUUUUUUUAUAAACCUUCCAUCUUCUAUUUCUAUUUUUAUACUUCUAUAUAGCUUGAAUUUUGCAGCCCCAUAAUUGGAUCUGUCAUAUAUUUUUUAUCUAUCAAGAGCAAAAAUGAGGAAUAGUAGUGUCUUUCUGAAACCUGGACUAAAAAUGCAAUCCUAAAUAGACGUAUUUCAUGAUAUGUCCCAGUUUCAGUGACGUAGGUGAAGUCUGUCUCCUAAUGCAUUACAUUAAGGUUAUACUCUAGAAAUUCGACAAGUUUUAUGAGUGAGAUGUAUUGCCAAUCUCUUUCUGACACAAACUCAUAUACUUACAGAAUCUAUUUUUGUGAGAUUUUGUGUGAGGUUUGUUUGUUUAUUUUUUAUUUGAUUUAUACCCCCCUCUUUUCUCCCAGAACAGGAUUCAAGAACAGUAUGUACACAGUCCCUAGAGGCAGUUUACUGCAACCUUACAGUGGAAUGCUGAUUGGCGAUGGCUGGAAAACUGAUCUUGGGGAACAUCAAUUAGGAUCCACCCCCUAUGCUUCAGCAUCUCUCCUCCCUUUCAAUUUUUUUAAACUCUCAUUUUGCACAUGGAUACACAUUUCUUAGGAUGAGGCUUGGAAGAUGGAUGAAUAGUUUCCCAAACAAGCACCCUUCAUGGUGAUAGACAUAGCUGCAGGCUGGGAUGUGAAUGUCAGUCUAACAGGUCAAAGGCAUGCAUUUUGGGAAUGGUGGAAGCAUAUGUUGGAACCAGAACUUGGAAAAAUUACUUUAUGAUCUAUAACACACAACAUUCUCUAUUCGUGAUGGGGGCUGGGAAAUUUAGAGAGCUUUAACUGUAACACACAGUCUGUUGUAGCAAUAUAUUAUACCCCUUUUCAGAGCCAAAUUUGACAAAUUUCAUCUUCAAAACUACUCUGUGUCCCAGUUGUCCCUCCACAAUAGCAAUUUUGACUUUAGCAGUUUUCUUUAUUCACAGAUUAGAUUAAAAGUGCUUUCUCUAGGAAUCUCUUGGUCCUAGAGUGUGACUCUAUAGUCAAGUCUUCCAGUCAUGCUGGCGGACUAUGAGAUUUCUUGAGAGAACACCUCUAGGAAUUUCUAGGUCCUCAAAGGCAAUUAUAUGGCCAGCUUUCAGUGGAAGUCAGCCAUAGACUCUUGCUGGAAGACCUAAAAAUCCCUAGAAAGGUGUCCAUUCAGUAAGAAAAUUGUGAUUUCUUUUAUUCAGUUUUUACUUUCACUGGGGCCCUGUGCCCCUAACUCCAGGGAACAUGCAGGGCUGACUGUAUUCAUUGCUCCUACUGAUUCUCAAUAAAAGUGAUCUAAAUGUUA
Molecule: long non-coding RNA, 9145 nt
Organism: Anolis carolinensis (green anole)
Lineage: Eukaryota; Metazoa; Chordata; Lepidosauria; Squamata; Anolidae
Exons: 2
Source: RefSeq, a predicted model, not a curated record